GUAGACAUAGUUUACACAAAACAUUAGACUGUGAAUCUAAAAUCAGGAGAUUAUAACCCCUUGUUUACC
RNAcentral lists this transfer RNA (69 nucleotides) under Pedetes capensis (springhare). RNAcentral's name for it is "tRNA-His". It matches the Rfam family "tRNA". From Rfam's summary of the family: Transfer RNA (tRNA) molecules are approximately 80 nucleotides in length. The record is from RNAcentral. Lineage: Eukaryota; Metazoa; Chordata; Mammalia; Rodentia; Pedetidae.